This is a long non-coding RNA of Rana temporaria (common frog), 6813 nucleotides long. RefSeq lists it as uncharacterized. The transcript is spliced from 2 exons. NCBI's taxonomy places the organism in Eukaryota, Metazoa, Chordata, Amphibia, Anura, Ranidae. The record is from RefSeq and is a predicted model, not a curated record.
AACUACAGAAAGCUGUAUCUAAAAGUUCAGUGCUGAGGCUACUGGCAGAGUGCAUUGGACACUCCUCACAAUGUCCUCGGGGAAGGUCUGAGAUUAAAGCUAAUGGCUGCUUUCACAAAGCAUUGCUUGACCCAAGCAAGUGGGUUCCCAUCAACAUUGGUAAGCUUGAUCCUUCAAAGCAAAAGAUGUAGUUCUCUCUCAGAAUGUGGAAUUGCUACAGAUGUGAUGUCAACAAGCUUGGAAGAAACUCACAGCUGGCUGUUGUAAGUCCAAUAACUGAAAGGAAGCUCCCAGGUGUUUCCUAACUCAAUUCAGACUACUCUCUCUCCACUUUUGCACAACCAUCUGUCUACAGCUCCCUUUUGGCAGAAAAAUGCAAUGUUGACGUUUCAGAAUCAUCAAUUUUAUUUACAUUAAUGAGCAUCUACAUGAAAUAAAAACAUCUCUUGAUUUUUCAAAAAGAAAUAUCACGAAACCGAUGCCGAAACAUCUUUGAAUAAAUGUUGAAUAGGCAAACUAAUAUGCAAAAAGUGUUCACGAAACAAUCACUAAUUUCAUAAUUGUAAUAUACUUAUUAAGUUAAAAUUCCCUUUUAGCGUUUUGACUUUUACAUGAGAAAAAGAAAAAGUAGCAGGCAUCUGGAACAUGUUGUAAAAUGGUGUGGAAGGCCAACGGAUUUCGUACUGUAAAGUGUUACUUGUUCUAUGGCCAGCCAUCUAUAAAUGUUCUGAUAUGUCAAAAUGGGGUCUUACCAUUUUUCAAAGAAAAAGGUAAGAUCAGGUGGAGGUAUUAUUUUGUUGCGUUUUCACACUCACUUUUCUAGUUUUCAACCUUCCAAUUAGACCAAAAAGAUACCUAUGAAGACUAAGACAUGUAAAAUGCCAUUGGUGACCUCCUUCUAAAAAUGUUUUUCAUACUUCUUUCGUGCCAAUGGCAAAGGCAGUAAUUAAUAGCAAGAUCAGUCCACAUAUACCAGCCUACCAUCAACAUAAAUUAAUUUUCUCUCUUUACAUGCUGUUGUAAGAGUCUCCUUAUGUUGACUUCCCCCUCCCAGGAUGAGGUUUAAAAGAACUACAGAAAGCUGUAUCUAAAUUGUGGAGAGAAGUUCAGUGCUGAGGCUACUGGCAGAGUGCAUUGGACACUCCUCGCAAUGUCCUCGGGGAAGGUCUGAGAUUAAAGCUAAUGGCUGCUUUCACAAAGCAUUGCUUGACCCAAGCAAGUGGGUUCCCAUCAACAUUGGUAAGCUUGAUCCUUCAAAGCAGAAGAUGUAGUUCUCUCUCAGAAUGUGGAAUUGCUACAGAUGUGAUGUCAUCAAGCUUGGAAGAAACUCACAGCUGGCUGUUGUAAGUCCAAUAACUGAAAGGAAGCUCCCAGGUGUUUCCUAACUCAAUUCAGACUACUCUCUCUCCACUUUUGCACAACCAUCUGUCUACAGCUCCCUUUUGGCAGAAAAAUGCAAUGUUGACGUUUCAGAAUCAUCAAUUUUAUUUACAUUAAUGAGCAUCUACAUGAAAUAAAAACAUCUCUUGAUUUUUCAAAAAGAAAUAUCACGAAACCGAUGCCGAAACAUCUUUGAAUAAAUGUUGAAUAGGCAAACUAAUAUGCAAAAAGUGUUCACGAAACAAUCACUAAUUUCAUAAUUGUAAUAUACUUAUUAAGUUAAAAUUCCCUUUUAGCGUUUUGACUUUUACAUGAGAAAAAGAAAAAGUAGCAGGCAUCUGGAACAUGUUGUAAAAUGGUGUGGAAGGCCAACGGAUUUCGUACUGUAAAGUGUUACUUGUUCUAUGGCCAGCCAUCUAUAAAUGUUCUGAUAUGUCAAAAUGGGGUCUUACCAUUUUUCAAAGAAAAAGGUAAGAUCAGGUGGAGGUAUUAUUUUGUUGCGUUUUCACACUCACUUUUCUAGUUUUCAACCUUCCAAUUAGACCAAAAAGAUACCUAUGAAGACUAAGACAUGUAAAAUGCCAUUGGUGACCUCCUUCUAAAAAUGUUUUUCAUACUUCUUUCGUGCCAAUGGCAAAGGCAGUAAUUAAUAGCAAGAUCAGUCCACAUAUACCAGCCUACCAUCAACAUAAAUUAAUUUUCUCUCUUUACAUGCUGUUGUAAGAGUCUCCUUAUGUUGACUUCCCCCUCCCAGGAUGAGGUUUAAAAGAACUACAGAAAGCUGUAUCUAAAUUGUGGAGAGAAGUUCAGUGCUGAGGCUACUGGCAGAGUGCAUUGGACACUCCUCACAAUGUCCUCGGGGAAGGUCUGAGAUUAAAGCUAAUGGCUGCUUUCACAAAGCAUUGCUUGACCCAAGCAAGUGGGUUCCCAUCAACAUUGGUAAGCUUGAUCCUUCAAAGCAGAAGAUGUAGUUCUCUCUCAGAAUGUGGAAUUGCUACAGAUGUGAUGUCAUCAAGCUUGGAAGAAACUCACAGCUGGCUGUUGUAAGUCCAAUAACUGAAAGGAAGCUCCCAGGUGUUUCCUAACUCAAUUCAGACUACUCUCUCUCCACUUUUGCACAACCAUCUGUCUACAGCUCCCUUUUGGCAGAAAAAUGCAAUGUUGACGUUUCAGAAUCAUCAAUUUUAUUUACAUUAAUGAGCAUCUACAUGAAAUUAAAACAUCUCUUGAUUUUUCAAAAAGAAAUAUCACGAAACCGAUGCCGAAACAUCUUUGAAUAAAUGUUGAAUAGGCAAACUAAUAUGCAAAAAGUGUUCACGAAACAAUCACUAAUUUCAUAAUUGUAAUAUACUUAUUAAGUUAAAAUUCCCUUUUAGCGUUUUGACUUUUACAUGAGAAAAAGAAAAAGUAGCAGGCAUCUGGAACAUGUUGUAAAAUGGUGUGGAAGGCCAACGGAUUUCGUACUGUAAAGUGUUACUUGUUCUAUGGCCAGCCAUCUAUAAAUGUUCUGAUAUGUCAAAAUGGGGUCUUACCAUUUUUCAAAGAAAAAGGUAAGAUCAGGUGGAGGUAUUAUUUUGUUGCGUUUUCACACUCACUUUUCUAGUUUUCAACCUUCCAAUUAGACCAAAAAGAUACCUAUGAAGACUAAGACAUGUAAAAUGCCAUUGGUGACCUCCUUCUAAAGAUGUUUUUCAUACUUCUUUCGUGCCAAUGGCAAAGGCAGUAAUUAAUAGCAAGAUCAGUCCACAUAUACCAGCCUACCAUCAACAUAAAUUAAUUUUCUCUCUUUACAUGCUGUUUUAAGAGUCUCCUUAUGUUGACUUCCCCCUCCCAGGAUGAGGUUUAAAAGAACUACAGAAAGCUGUAUCUAAAUUGUGGAGAGAAGUUCAGUGCUGAGGCUACUGGCAGAGUGCAUUGGACACUCCUCACAAUGUCCUCGGGGAAGGUCUGAGAUUAAAGCUAAUGGCUGCUUUCACAAAGCAUUGCUUGACCCAAGCAAGUGGGUUCCCAUCAACAUUGGUAAGCUUGAUCCUUCAAAGCAGAAGAUGUAGUUCUCUCUCAGAAUGUGGAAUUGCUACAGAUGUGAUGUCAUCAAGCUUGGAAGAAACUCACAGCUGGCUGUUGUAAGUCCAAUAACUGAAAGGAAGCUCCCAGGUGUUUCCUAACUCAAUUCAGACUACUCUCUCUCCACUUUUGCACAACCAUCUGUCUACAGCUCCCUUUUGGCAGAAAAAUGCAAUGUUGACGUUUCAGAAUCAUCAAUUUUAUUUACAUUAAUGAGCAUCUACAUGAAAUAAAAACAUCUCUUGAUUUUUCAAAAAGAAAUAUCACGAAACCGAUGCCGAAACAUCUUUGAAUAAAUGUUGAAUAGGCAAACUAAUAUGCAAAAAGUGUUCACGAAACAAUCACUAAUUUCAUAAUUGUAAUAUACUUAUUAAGUUAAAAUUCCCUUUUAGCGUUUUGACUUUUACAUGAGAAAAAGAAAAAGUAGCAGGCAUCUGGAACAUGUUGUAAAAUGGUGUGGAAGGCCAACGGAUUUCGUACUGUAAAGUGUUACUUGUUCUAUGGCCAGCCAUCUAUAAAUGUUCUGAUAUGUCAAAAUGGGGUCUUACCAUUUUUCAAAGAAAAAGGUAAGAUCAGGUGGAGGUAUUAUUUUGUUGCGUUUUCACACUCACUUUUCUAGUUUUCAACCUUCCAAUUAGACCAAAAAGAUACCUAUGAAGACUAAGACAUGUAAAAUGCCAUUGGUGACCUCCUUCUAAAGAUGUUUUUCAUACUUCUUUCGUGCCAAUGGCAAAGGCAGUAAUUAAUAGCAAGAUCAGUCCACAUAUACCAGCCUACCAUCAACAUAAAUUAAUUUUCUCUCUUUACAUGCUGUUUUAAGAGUCUCCUUAUGUUGACUUCCCCCUCCCAGGAUGAGGUUUAAAAGAACUACAGAAAGCUGUAUCUAAAUUGUGGAGAGAAGUUCAGUGCUGAGGCUACUGGCAGAGUGCAUUGGACACUCCUCACAAUGUCCUCGGGGAAGGUCUGAGAUUAAAGCUAAUGGCUGCUUUCACAAAGCAUUGCUUGACCCAAGCAAGUGGGUUCCCAUCAACAUUGGUAAGCUUGAUCCUUCAAAGCAGAAGAUGUAGUUCUCUCUCAGAAUGUGGAAUUGCUACAGAUGUGAUGUCAUCAAGCUUGGAAGAAACUCACAGCUGGCUGUUGUAAGUCCAAUAACUGAAAGGAAGCUCCCAGGUGUUUCCUAACUCAAUUCAGACUACUCUCUCUCCACUUUUGCACAACCAUCUGUCUACAGCUCCCUUUUGGCAGAAAAAUGCAAUGUUGACGUUUCAGAAUCAUCAAUUUUAUUUACAUUAAUGAGCAUCUACAUGAAAUAAAAACAUCUCUUGAUUUUUCAAAAAGAAAUAUCACGAAACCGAUGCCGAAACAUCUUUGAAUAAAUGUUGAAUAGGCAAACUAAUAUGCAAAAAGUGUUCACGAAACAAUCACUAAUUUCAUAAUUGUAAUAUACUUAUUAAGUUAAAAUUCCCUUUUAGCGUUUUGACUUUUACAUGAGAAAAAGAAAAAGUAGCAGGCAUCUGGAACAUGUUGUAAAAUGGUGUGGAAGGCCAACGGAUUUCGUACUGUAAAGUGUUACUUGUUCUAUGGCCAGCCAUCUAUAAAUGUUCUGAUAUGUCAAAAUGGGGUCUUACCAUUUUUCAAAGAAAAAGGUAAGAUCAGGUGGAGGUAUUAUUUUGUUGCGUUUUCACACUCACUUUUCUAGUUUUCAACCUUCCAAUUAGACCUAAAAGAUACCUAUGAAGACUAAGACAUGUAAAAUGCCAUUGGUGACCUCCUUCUAAAAAUGUUUUUCAUACUUCUUUCGUGCCAAUGGCAAAGGCAGUAAUUAAUAGCAAGAUCAGUCCACAUAUACCAGCCUACCAUCAACAUAAAUUAAUUUUCUCUCUUUACAUGCUGUUUUAAGAGUCUCCUUAUGUUGACUUCCCCCUCCCAGGAUGAGGUUUAAAAGAACUACAGAAAGCUGUAUCUAAAUUGUGGAGAGAAGUUCAGUGCUGAGGCUACUGGCAGAGUGCAUUGGACACUCCUCACAAUGUCCUCGGGGAAGGUCUGAGAUUAAAGCUAAUGGCUGCUUUCACAAAGCAUUGCUUGACCCAAGCAAGUGGGUUCCCAUCAACAUUGGUAAGCUUGAUCCUUCAAAGCAGAAGAUGUAGUUCUCUCUCAGAAUGUGGAAUUGCUACAGAUGUGAUGUCAUCAAGCUUGGAAGAAACUCACAGCUGGCUGUUGUAAGUCCAAUAACUGAAAGGAAGCUCCCAGGUGUUUCCUAACUCAAUUCAGACUACUCUCUCUCCACUUUUGCACAACCAUCUGUCUACAGCUCCCUUUUGGCAGAAAAAUGCAAUGUUGACGUUUCAGAAUCAUCAAUUUUAUUUACAUUAAUGAGCAUCUACAUGAAAUUAAAACAUCUCUUGAUUUUUCAAAAAGAAAUAUCACGAAACCGAUGCCGAAACAUCUUUGAAUAAAUGUUGAAUAGGCAAACUAAUAUGCAAAAAGUGUUCACGAAACAAUCACUAAUUUCAUAAUUGUAAUAUACUUAUUAAGUUAAAAUUCCCUUUUAGCGUUUUGACUUUUACAUGAGAAAAAGAAAAAGUAGCAGGCAUCUGGAACAUGUUGUAAAAUGGUGUGGAAGGCCAACGGAUUUCGUACUGUAAAGUGUUACUUGUUCUAUGGCCAGCCAUCUAUAAAUGUUCUGAUAUGUCAAAAUGGGGUCUUACCAUUUUUCAAAGAAAAAGGUAAGAUCAGGUGGAGGUAUUAUUUUGUUGCGUUUUCACACUCACUUUUCUAGUUUUCAACCUUCCAAUUAGACCAAAAAGAUACCUAUGAAGACUAAGACAUGUAAAAUGCCAUUGGUGACCUCCUUCUAAAAAUGUUUUUCAUACUUCUUUCGUGCCAAUGGCAAAGGCAGUAAUUAAUAGCAAGAUCAGUCCACAUAUACCAGCCUACCAUCAACAUAAAUUAAUUUUCUCUCUUUACAUGCUGUUGUAAGAGUCUCCUUAUGUUGACUUCCCCCUCCCAGGAUGAGGUUUAAAAGAACUACAGAAAGCUGUAUCUAAAUUGUGGAGAGAAGUUCAGUGCUGAGGCUACUGGCAGAGUGCAUUGGACACUCCUCACAAUGUCCUCGGGGAAGGUCUGAGAUUAAAGCUAAUGGCUGCUUUCACAAAGCAUUGCUUGACCCAAGCAAGUGGGUUCCCAUCAACAUUGGUAAGCUUGAUCCUUCAAAGCAGAAGAUGUAGUUCUCUCUCAGAAUGUGGAAUUGCUACAGAUGUGAUGUCAUCAAGCUUGGAAGAAACUCACAGCUGGCUGUUGUAAGUCCAAUAACUGAAAGGAAGCUCCCAGGUGUUUCCUAACUCAAUUCAGACUACUCUCUCUCCACUU